AAGCUCUGGGUUUAAUUUGAUGGUAGGGUCCAUCACAAACGUCGAAUUCUUCGAACGAAAAUAAAUGCAUCUGAGCUU
Small nucleolar RNA from Alnus glutinosa, 78 nucleotides. RefSeq annotates it as small nucleolar RNA snoR114. Lineage: Eukaryota; Viridiplantae; Streptophyta; Magnoliopsida; Fagales; Betulaceae. The record is from RefSeq and is a predicted model, not a curated record. The transcript has a single exon.